GAUGAACGCUGGCGGCGUGCCUAAUACAUGCAAGUCGAGCGAACAGAUAAGGAGCUUGCUCCUUUGACGUUAGCGGCGGACGGGUGAGUAACACGUGGGUAACCUACCUAUAAGACUGGAAUAACUCCGGGAAACCGGGGCUAAUGCCGGAUAACAUUUAGAACCGCAUGGUUCUAAAGUGAAAGAUGGUUUUGCUAUCACUUAUAGAUGGACCCGCGCCGUAUUAGCUAGUUGGUAAGGUAACGGCUUACCAGGGCAACGAUACGUAGCCGACCUGAGAGGGUGAUCGGCCACACUGGAACUGAGACACGGUCCAGACUCCUACGGGAGGCAGCAGUAGGGAAUCUUCCGCAAUGGGCGAAAGCCUGACGGAGCAACGCCGCGUGAGUGAUGAAGGUCUUCGGAUCGUAAAACUCUGUUAUUAGGGAAGAACAAAUGUGUAAGUAACUGUGCACGUCUUGACGGUACCCAAUCAGAAAGCCACGGCUAACUACGUG
Molecule: ribosomal RNA, 497 nt
Filed under: uncultured bacterium
Lineage: Bacteria
Description: partial 16S ribosomal RNA
Rfam family: Bacterial small subunit ribosomal RNA
Source: RNAcentral